This 897-nucleotide ribosomal RNA is filed under the name uncultured archaeon. Its description in RNAcentral is "bacterial SSU rRNA". It matches the Rfam family "Archaeal small subunit ribosomal RNA", at positions 21 to 904 of the family's 1478-position model. The record is from RNAcentral.
ACCGACUGCUAUUUGGGUGAGGAUAAGCCAUGCGAGUUGAAUGGGAUACCUAAAUUUCCCAUGGCAAACUGCUCAGUAACACAUGAUCAACUUACCCUAUAGAGAAAAAUAACCUCGGGAAACUGAGGAUAAUAUUUCAUAGUUGAAUAGGCUUGGAAAAGUUUUUCAAUAAAAGGGAUAAAAAAAAUGGUUUUUAUCUGCUAUAGGAUAGGAUCGUGGACGAUUAUGGUUGUUGGUGAGGUAACGGCUCACCAAGCCGAUAAUCGAUAGGGGCCGUGAGAGCGGGAGCCCCGAGAUGGGUACUGAGACAACGACCCAGGCCUUACGAGGCGCAGCAGGCGCGGAACCUCCGCAAUACACGAAAGUGUGACGGGGUUACCCCAAAGUGUUCAAUUCUGAACUGUGGUAGGUGAGUAAUGUUCCCUACUAGAAAGGAGAGGGCAAGGCUGGUGCCAGCCGCCGCGGUAAAACCAGCUCUUCAAGUGGUCGGGAUAAUAUUGGGCUUAAAGUGUCCGUAGCCGGUUUAGUAAGUUCCUGGUAAAAUCGGGUAGCUUAACUAUCUGUAUGCUAGGAAUACUGCUAUACUAGAGGGCGGGAGAGGUCUGAGGUACUACAGGGGUAGGGGUGAAAUCUUAUAAUCCUUGUAGGACCACCAGUGGCGAAGGCGUCAGACUGGAACGCGCCUGACGGUGAGGGACGAAAGCCAGGGGAGCGAACCGGAUUAGAUACCCGGGUAGUCCUGGCCGUAAACGAUGCAUACUAGGUGAUGGUACGGCCAUGAGCCAUAUCAGUGCCGUAGGGAAACCGUUAAGUGUGCCGCCUGGGAAGUACGGUCGCAAGGCUAAAACUUAAAGGAAUUGGCGGGGGAGCACCACAAGGGGUGAAGCCUGCGGUUCA